RNAcentral lists this ribosomal RNA (323 nucleotides) under uncultured bacterium. RNAcentral's name for it is "bacterial SSU rRNA". It matches the Rfam family "Bacterial small subunit ribosomal RNA", at positions 28 to 334 of the family's 1533-position model. The record is from RNAcentral.
GAUGAACGCUGGCGGCGUGCCUAACACAUGCAAGUCGAGCGAAGCGAUUUAGCGGAAGUUUUCGGAUGGAAGUUAAAUUGACUGAGCGGCGACGGGUGAGUAACGCGUGGGUAACCUGCCUCAUACAGGGGGAUAACAGUUAGAAAUGACUGCUAAUACCGCAUAAGCGCACAGCAUCGCAUGAUGCAGUGUGAAAAACUCCGGUGGUAUGAGAUGGACCCGCGUCUGAUUAGCUAGUUGGUGAGGUAAAGGCCCACCAAGGCGACGAUCAGUAGCCGACCUGAGAGGGUGAUCGGCCACAUUGGGACUGAGACACGGCCCAA